UACGUAGGGUGCAAGCGUUAAUCGGAAUUACUGGGCGUAAAGCGUGCGCAGGCGGCUCGGCAAGUCAGAGGUGAAAUCCCCGGGCUUAACCUGGGAACUGCAUUGGUGACUGCAUCGCUCGAGUAUGGCAGAGGGGGGUAGAAUUCCACGUGUAGCAGUGAAAUGCGUAGAGAUGCGGAGGAACACCGAUGGCGAAGGCAGCCCCCUGGGCUAACACUGACGCUGAGGCACGAAAGCUAGGGGAGCAAACAGG
RNAcentral lists this ribosomal RNA (253 nucleotides) under uncultured bacterium. RNAcentral describes it as "partial 16S ribosomal RNA". It matches the Rfam family "Bacterial small subunit ribosomal RNA", at positions 524 to 776 of the family's 1533-position model. The record is from RNAcentral.